RNAcentral lists this ribosomal RNA (220 nucleotides) under uncultured Glomus. Its description in RNAcentral is "partial small subunit ribosomal RNA". It matches the Rfam family "Eukaryotic small subunit ribosomal RNA", at positions 591 to 816 of the family's 1831-position model. The record is from RNAcentral. Lineage: Eukaryota; Fungi; Glomeromycota; Glomeromycetes; Glomerales; Glomeraceae.
CCAAUAGCGUAUAUUAAAGUUGUUGCAGUUAAAAAGCUCGUAGUUGAAUUUCGGGGUUAGUAGAUUGGUCAUGCCUCUGGUAUGUACUGGUCUCACUGAUUCCUCCUUCCUGAUGAACCUUAAUGCCAUUAAUUUGGUGUUUUGGGGAAUUUGGACUGUUACUUUGAAAAAAUUAGAGUGUUUAAAGCAAGCUAACGCUUGAAUACAUUAGCAUGGAAUA